This 141-nucleotide small nucleolar RNA is filed under the name Dasypus novemcinctus (nine-banded armadillo). RNAcentral describes it as "Small nucleolar RNA SNORA67 (ENSDNOG00000049062.1)". It matches the Rfam family "Small nucleolar RNA SNORA67". From Rfam's summary of the family: U67 belongs to the H/ACA class of snoRNAs which are thought to guide the sites of modification of uridines to pseudouridines. Lineage: Eukaryota; Metazoa; Chordata; Mammalia; Cingulata; Dasypodidae. The record is from RNAcentral.
AGCCAAGGUGAUUCCCUCUCCAAGGGACCACGUAGUGCCCCCCUCAGGAAACUAGUAAUUUGGAAGAAAAUCUGGCAAGCUCAAGGUCUUCCAGAAAGAGGGGAUGUUUUUCCUUUUACCUUCCUUUGGCUGCCUAUGUAU